AUCUAUGGCAGUGCCACCUUGAACAAAGCCAGAUGUCUAAUCUUGGAAGCUAAGCAGGGUCGGGCCUAGUUAAUACUUGGAUAGGAGACCACCUAGGAAGACCAGGUGAUGUAGGCA
This 117-nucleotide ribosomal RNA is filed under the name Pteropus alecto (black flying fox). Lineage: Eukaryota; Metazoa; Chordata; Mammalia; Chiroptera; Pteropodidae. The record is from RNAcentral.